This is a non-coding RNA of Acanthosepion pharaonis, 111 nucleotides long. The record is from the annotation of a GenBank genome assembly. Lineage: Eukaryota; Metazoa; Mollusca; Cephalopoda; Sepiida; Sepiidae.
UUACGGUCACAUCACGUUGAAACACAGGUUUCGAUACAAUCGCCAAAGUUAAGCAACAUCGUCCCUGCUCAGUACCUAGAUGAGUGACCGCUUGGGAAUAGCAGGUGCUAU